UACAGAGGUCCCAAGCGUUGUUCGGAUUCAUUGGGCGUAAAGGGUGCGUAGGCGGCGCGGUAAGUCGGGUGUGAAAUCUCGGGGCUUAACUCCGAAACUGCAUUCGAUACUGCCGUGCUUGAGGACUGGAGAGGAGACUGGAAUUUACGGUGUAGCGGUGAAAUGCGUAGAUAUCGGAAGGAAGACCAGUGGCGAAGGCGGGGCUCUGGACCGUAACUGACGCUGAGGCACGAAGGCGAGGGGAGCAAACGGG
RNAcentral lists this ribosomal RNA (253 nucleotides) under uncultured bacterium. Its description in RNAcentral is "partial 16S ribosomal RNA". It matches the Rfam family "Bacterial small subunit ribosomal RNA", at positions 524 to 776 of the family's 1533-position model. The record is from RNAcentral.